UCCCCGUUCACCGGGGCAGUCCCCUCAGAGUGCCCGGCAUAACCCGAUGGCAACAAAGGGCAAGGGUUGCGCUCGUUGCGGGACUUAACCCAACAUCUCACGACACGAGCUGACGACAGCCAUGCAGCACCUGUGCAUCGGCCCCGAAGGGAAGACAGCUUUCACUGCCGGUCCGAUACAUGUCAAACCCAGGUAAGGUUCUUCGCGUUGCGUCGAAUUAAACCACAUGCUCCACCGCUUGUGCGGGCCCCCGUCAAUUCGUUUGAGUUUCAGCCUUGCGACCGUACUCCCCAGGCGGGGCACUUCAUGCGUUAGCGCCGGUACUCCAAGGGUCGCUCCCCGGAGCACCUAGUGCCCAUCGUUUACGGCGUGGACUAC
This 378-nucleotide unclassified non-coding RNA is filed under the name uncultured bacterium. RNAcentral's name for it is "contains 16S-23S intergenic spacer region". The record is from RNAcentral.